CCCACGGACCCCGGCCUGCUCAGCUGCGCCGUCGCCACGGCAACCAGCGCUCCUGAGGGCGGGCCGGCAAGGCCUUCUGCGGUUGCCUCAUGCCGAAGAUGAACAGGCAGUGGAAAUGUGUGCUCGGUUACUGAGGCGACCCUGGGGGUUUUGCUGACCCUAAUGCGCUCCAGCGUAAAUCACACCCACCUUAGAUUGUGCGGCCCUGGAAUGGAUUGAGCCUAAAGGACUGCACGGUGUUUAUGCUAGCAGCUAGCUCUGCUAAGACACAGCAACCCCCCCAGGAGACGUGUAUGGAGCAGGACCUUGGAGAGCGCGCGGAGACGAGCGGGCAGGCCUACCUUGCGCAGAGCAGCUCACGCGCUAAGCUCUUCCUACAGG
Molecule: long non-coding RNA, 381 nt
Organism: Anguilla anguilla (European eel)
Lineage: Eukaryota; Metazoa; Chordata; Actinopteri; Anguilliformes; Anguillidae
Exons: 3
Source: RefSeq, a predicted model, not a curated record